Molecule: ribosomal RNA, 451 nt
Filed under: uncultured bacterium
Lineage: Bacteria
Description: bacterial SSU rRNA
Rfam family: Bacterial small subunit ribosomal RNA
Source: RNAcentral
GUCGGGAAUUUUGGGCAAUGGGCGAAAGCCUGACCCAGCAACGCCGCGUGAGGGAUGAAGGCCUUCGGGUCGUAAACCUCUGUCGGAAGGGAAGAACGAUCGCAGGGUGAACAAUCCUGGGGUCUGACGGUACCUUCAAAGGAAGCGCCGGCUAACUCCGUGCCAGCAGCCGCGGUAAUACGGAGGGCGCAAGCGUUGUUCGGAAUCAUUGGGCGUAAAGCGCGUGUAGGCGGCUUGGCAAGUCGGAUGUGAAAUCCCGGGGCUCAACCCCGGAACUGCAUUCGAAACUGCCUCGCUAGAGUCCCGGAGAGGAGGGCGGAAUUCCCGGUGUAGAGGUGAAAUUCGUAGAUAUCGGGAGGAACACCAGUGGCGAAGGCGGCCCUCUGGACGGUGACUGACGCUGAGAUGCGAAAGCGUGGGGAGCAAACAGGAUUAGAAACCCGAGUAGUCC